GGUCUCCAUAUUUUUUCAUUGCUGUAUAACGUCCACAUAACGUUUUUAUUGCGAUAGGCCUAGACGUGAACAAAACGUUUUUGAUCAACGUUGUUUCAAUGCAUUAGAGAAUUCCUGCGUUAGAUGAUUCGGUCUUGUCAGUUAAUCAGUCGAAUAAUCAGGCUUGCCGAAUAUUCGCUGCGUCCUUUGAUCAGUCGACCCCGCCAGGAACGACUCCGCUCACCUGUUCGCGGGAAGCGCGCGGGCUUUAGGACCCUGGGUGCGCGAGUGUUUUCUCCAGCUGCUGCGGGUGAACGCUGGCGCUGAGGGAAGCUCGCGCGGAGAAUCUGCCCGAAAUCCUCCUGCCUUCAAUCCUGCGCGCGAUCGCGGAGCUGAACCGAGCGAGAUCCACAGGCACGCGCACGGUCGGUCGAGCGGGAGGUCUCCUUCUGCAUGCACGCUGCCCAGUGCUGGACGGCGCGCGGGGUCGGCUCGCGGCGGUGAGCUCUGUGCCGUAUCCAGACGCAAACCUAGUAAACACUCACCUGUCGACACGCCCUGAGGAAUGCUGUGUUGAAACAAACGCCUAUGCAGCAGAAGAAAGAUGUCUCUUCGCCAGAGGAAAAGAGUCCACAAAAGGUGGAGAAGAGUCCAAUAAAGGUGGAGAAGAGUCCACAAAAAGUGGAAAAGUGUCCAAACAAGGUGGAGAAGAGUCCAAUAAAGGUGGAGAAGAGUCAAAUCAAGGCAGAGAAGAGUCAACAAAAAUUGGAGAAGAUUCCACUGAAAGUGGAGAAAAGUCCAGUAAAGGUGGAGAACAGUCCACAGAAGGAGGAGAGCACAUGUUCGUCCCCUGAACCAGUGAGAAAGAUUCGCAAAGGGAAGAGCAGUGCCGUUAAAAAGGAGCGUCCCGUCCCAAACAAAUCUGGUUUUGAGAGCAGCCCAGUCGACAGUACCCAGUGUGACCAGCGUGAGGAGGACCCCAGCACCCUCAGCAGCCCUGUCCGCCCCAGCAAAGACUCGCAGGAGUCCCAGGUGGAGGCAUCUCCCCGGCUGAGACGGGGACGCCGGCGCACCGACGAAGCUCUGCUGAAAGACUGGAGCUUCGCUUCUCCACCCACUCCCCCUCCUCCCGAUCCCCCCGCCUCCCCAACCUCGCCCAGUCACACCGCGACGGUCACCCCCCUGCGCCGGCCGCGGGGACGCCCUCGCCUCAACCGCCGGCGCGACGAGAGCGACGCCAGCAAGGGCAGAGCUGCAGACGGAGGAGACUCGGCGUCGGCGAAGAAGAGGAAGCGCUGCAGGAACCGCAAGUACCAGAACGGAGAGUACAUCACCGAGAAGGACAAGCCGGCAGAGGGAGAGAAAGAGGAGAGGCUCGGGGAAGACGAGGAAAGUACAGGUAAAUAAAUACAAAUUUAAAGGUGAAUUAGUUGUGGUGGUAAUUCCAUUAUAAAGCCCCUUUACACAC
RNAcentral lists this long non-coding RNA (1447 nucleotides) under Astyanax mexicanus (Mexican tetra). RNAcentral's name for it is "lncRNA (ENSAMXG00005002421.1)". The record is from RNAcentral. Lineage: Eukaryota; Metazoa; Chordata; Actinopteri; Characiformes; Acestrorhamphidae.